RNAcentral lists this ribosomal RNA (461 nucleotides) under uncultured bacterium. RNAcentral describes it as "bacterial SSU rRNA". It matches the Rfam family "Bacterial small subunit ribosomal RNA", at positions 1 to 507 of the family's 1533-position model. The record is from RNAcentral.
CAGUAGUCACGAGUUUGAUCAUGGCUCAGAACGAACGCUGGCGGCAUGCCUAACACAUGCAAGUCGAACGAGACCUUCGGGUCUAGUGGCGCACGGGUGCGUAACACGUGGGAAUUUGCCUCGGGGUAUGGAAUAACUCAGGGAAACUUGAGCUAAUACCAUAUAAUGUCUUCGGACCAAAGAUUUAUCGCCCUGAGAUAAGCCCGCGUAGGAUUAGCUAGUUGGUGAGGUAAAGGCUCACCAAGGCGACGAUCCUUAGCUGGUCUGAGAGGAUGAUCAGCCACACUGGGACUGAGACACGGCCCAGACUCCUACGGGAGGCAGCAGUGGGGAAUAUUGGACAAUGGGCGAAAGCCUGAUCCAGCAAUGCCGCGUGAGUGAUGAAGGCCUUCGGGUUGUAAAGCUCUUUACUCGGGACGAUAAUGACGGUACCGAGAGAAUAAGCCCCGGCUAACUCCGUG